UACGAAGGGGGCUAGCGUUGUUCGGAAUUACUGGGCGUAAAGGGCGCGUAGGCGGCGACAUACGUCAGGUGUGAAAGUCCUGGGCUUAACCUGGGGAUUGCAUUUGAUACGGUGUUGCUAGAGGGCGAGAGAGGGUAAUGGAAUUGUGUGUGUAGAGGUGAAAUUCGUAGAUAUACACAAGAACACCAGAGGCGAAGGCGGUUACCUGGCUCGUACCUGACGCUAAGGCGCGAAAGCGUGGGGAGCAAACAGG
This 253-nucleotide ribosomal RNA is filed under the name uncultured bacterium. Its description in RNAcentral is "partial 16S ribosomal RNA". It matches the Rfam family "Bacterial small subunit ribosomal RNA", at positions 524 to 776 of the family's 1533-position model. The record is from RNAcentral.